RNAcentral lists this ribosomal RNA (468 nucleotides) under uncultured bacterium. RNAcentral describes it as "partial 16S ribosomal RNA". It matches the Rfam family "Bacterial small subunit ribosomal RNA", at positions 28 to 507 of the family's 1533-position model. The record is from RNAcentral.
GACGAACGCUGGCGGCGUGCUUAACACAUGCAAGUCGAACGGAAAGGCCCUGCUUUUUUGGGUUUCUCGAGUGGCUAACGAGUGAGUAACACGUGAGUAACCUGCCCUUGCCUUUGGGAUAACUUCAGGAACCUGGGGCUAAUUCCUGAUAUGAGCUCCUGCUGCAUGGUGUGGGUUGGAAAGUUUCGGCGUUUGGGGAUGGACUCGCGGCUUAUCAGCUUGUUGGUGGGGUAUUGGCUUACCAAGGCUUUGACGGUUAGCCGGCCGGAGAGGGUGACCGGACACAUUGGGACUGAGAUACGGCCCAGACUGCUACGGGAGGCAGCAGUGGGGAAUAUUGCAAAAUGGGCGGAAGCCUGAUGGAGCAACGCCGCGUGCGGGAUGACGGCUUUAGGGUUGUAAACCGCUUUCGCCUGUGACGAAGCGUGAGUGAAGGGAAUGGGUAAAGAAGCACCGGCUAACUACGUG